Molecule: ribosomal RNA, 454 nt
Filed under: uncultured bacterium
Lineage: Bacteria
Description: bacterial SSU rRNA
Rfam family: Bacterial small subunit ribosomal RNA
Source: RNAcentral
ACUCCUACGGGAGGCAGCAGUGGGGAAUAUUGCACAAUGGGGGAAACCCUGAUGCAGCCAUGCCGCGUGUAUGAAGAAGGCCUUCGGUUGUAAAGUACUUUCAGCAGUGAGGAAGGCGGAGUCGUUAAUAGCGGCCUCGUUUGACGUUAGCUGCAGAAGAAGCACCGGCUAACUCCGUGCCAGCAGCCGCGGUAAUACGGAGGGUGCGAGCGUUAAUCGGAAUUACUGGGCGUAAAGCGCAUGCAGGUGGUUUGUUAAGUCAGAUGUGAAAGCCCGGGGCUCAACCUCGGAAUUGCAUUUGAAACUGGCAGACUAGAGUACUGUAGAGGGGGGUAGAAGUUUCAGGUGUAGCGGUGAAAUAGCGUAGAGAUCUGAAGGAAUACCGGUGGCGAAGGCGGCCCCCUGGGACAGAUACUGACACUCAGAUGCGAAAGCGUGGGGAGCAAACAGGAUU